This 59-nucleotide transfer RNA is filed under the name Heterocephalus glaber (naked mole-rat). It matches the Rfam family "tRNA", at positions 7 to 64 of the family's 71-position model. Rfam says of the family: Transfer RNA (tRNA) molecules are approximately 80 nucleotides in length. The record is from Rfam by way of RNAcentral. Lineage: Eukaryota; Metazoa; Chordata; Mammalia; Rodentia; Bathyergidae.
GUAGCUCAGUGUUAGAGCAUGUACUUAUCAUGCACAGGGCCCUGGGUUCAAUUUCCAGC